UUUGGAGGUAAAAAUAUAUUUGAAUACUAUUAGUUAAUUUCUUUUAAACUCAAAAAAUUUGGCGGUGAUUCUAAAUUUUAGAGGAACUUGUUUUUUAAUUGAUAAGCCACGAUAGUUAAUACCUUAAAGUUGAUUUGUAUAUCUCUAUAUGGUAGAAUAUUUUUUUAGGAUAAUUUUUUUUAACUAGUUUUUAAUUUGAUUUAAGUUAGGUCAAGGUGCAGUUUUAUACAAAGGUAAAUAUGAGUUACUUUAAUAUUAAAAAUUAUUUGGAGGUUUUGCUUUAGGGCAAAUCUUGAAAUUGGAUUUGAAAGU
Molecule: ribosomal RNA, 312 nt
Filed under: Zalmoxis sp. DNA100914
Lineage: Eukaryota; Metazoa; Arthropoda; Arachnida; Opiliones; Zalmoxidae
Description: partial 12S ribosomal RNA
Source: RNAcentral